Molecule: ribosomal RNA, 1022 nt
Filed under: Pseudomonas fulva
Lineage: Bacteria; Pseudomonadati; Pseudomonadota; Gammaproteobacteria; Pseudomonadales; Pseudomonadaceae
Description: partial 23S ribosomal RNA
Rfam family: Bacterial large subunit ribosomal RNA
Source: RNAcentral
AAGCUGGUUAUCUUGUACUGAAUACAUAGGUGCAAGAGGCGAACCAGGGGAACUGAAACAUCUAAGUACCCUGAGGAAAAGAAAUCAACCGAGAUUCCCUUAGUAGUGGCGAGCGAACGGGGACCAGCCCUUAAGUUGAUUUGAGAUUAGUGGAACGCUCUGGAAAGUGCGGCCAUAGUGGGUGAUAGCCCCGUACACGAAAAUCUCUUAUCAAUGAAAUCGAGUAGGACGGAGCACGAGAAACUUUGUCUGAAUAUGGGGGGACCAUCCUCCAAGGCUAAAUACUACUGACUGACCGAUAGUGAACCAGUACCGUGAGGGAAAGGCGAAAAGAACCCCGGAGAGGGGAGUGAAAUAGAACCUGAAACCGUAUGCGUACAAGCAGUGGGAGCCUACUUUGUUAGGUGACUGCGUACCUUUUGUAUAAUGGGUCAGCGACUUAUAUUCAGUGGCGAGCUUAACCGAAUAGGGGAGGCGUAGCGAAAGCGAGUCUUAAUAGGGCGUUUAGUCGCUGGGUAUAGACCCGAAACCGGGCGAUCUAUCCAUGGGCAGGUUGAAGGUUAGGUAACACUGACUGGAGGACCGAACCGACUACCGUUGAAAAGUUAGCGGAUGACCUGUGGAUCGGAGUGAAAGGCUAAUCAAGCUCGGAGAUAGCUGGUUCUCCUCGAAAGCUAUUUAGGUAGCGCCUCAUGUAUCACUGUAGGGGGUAGAGCACUGUUUCGGCUAGGGGGUCAUCCCGACUUACCAAACCGAUGCAAACUCCGAAUACCUACAAGUGCCGAGCAUGGGAGACACACGGCGGGUGCUAACGUCCGUCGUGAAAAGGGAAACAACCCAGACCGUCAGCUAAGGUCCCAAAGUCAUGGUUAAGUGGGAAACGAUGUGGGAAGGCUUAGACAGCUAGGAGGUUGGCUUAGAAGCAGCCACCCUUUAAAGAAAGCGUAAUAGCUCACUAGUCGAGUCGGCCUGCGCGGAAGAUGUAACGGGGCUCAAACCAUGCACCGAAGCUACGGGUAUCA